CGAAGAUGCACUGAGGACAGUGGCCCAGAGUGGCCCAAGAUUUCUCACAUCCCAGAUAUCUACAUUGAUGGCCAGCUAGUAUACAUAUCGCCUCUAUACUCACCAUGUUUUCGUAAUAGCUCCCACUUUGACAGUGAAGAAAUGUCUUUUAAUCAGCAUUGGUUGUCUGAUUGAGUCUCACCACUUGUCACCACCUGUGGAUUCUUUAUCACCGC
Prunus mume (Japanese apricot) is the source of this 215-nucleotide non-coding RNA. NCBI's taxonomy places the organism in Eukaryota, Viridiplantae, Streptophyta, Magnoliopsida, Rosales, Rosaceae. The record is from RefSeq and is a predicted model, not a curated record.